Molecule: long non-coding RNA, 605 nt
Organism: Tachyglossus aculeatus (Australian echidna)
Lineage: Eukaryota; Metazoa; Chordata; Mammalia; Monotremata; Tachyglossidae
Exons: 6
Source: RefSeq, a predicted model, not a curated record
GUCCAGCAUCAAUAUAAUGAAGGGGACCCAGAUGUUACAAUACAGGUGGAUGUCGGAGUCCUGAUGACAGGAAGAGAUGGAUCAGUGGAUUUCCCUUCCCAGAACCUUCUCACCAACCUUUCUGGCCAUGAGGACUACCACUCCUUUAGUGAGGACCCAGAGCAGCUGAUCCCCAUGGAGAUGAGGAAUCAAGAGUGAAGCUUCCAUCUAUAAGGGAAGGUGAUGGGGGCAUGACUAGGGGUUGCUGCAGGAGGACUCAGUCCUGUCCACAGGGUCACUCUGCAAAUCUUCAGCUCCUUUAGAGGUGGAACCCCUCUGUGCUUGACAGUGACUGCCUCUGAAGGAGUUGGGAAGGUUCCCACUGUGGCUGUUGAAGUUGCAAAGGACACUUGGCUCCUGCAAUCCAUCAGUGGUCCAGCAUCUGUUUGUUGGGGAGUCCCAGAUGAUACAACAUAGGUCCAGCAUCAGUAUAAUGAGGGGGACCCAGAUGAUAUGAUACAGGUGAGUGCCAUUCGAAGAUGGAUGUUGAAGGAGUCCUGAUGAGCAGAAGAGAAGGACCAACUUAUUUCUCCUCCCAGAAGCUCCUCACCACCCUUCCUGGUCAU